This 867-nucleotide ribosomal RNA is filed under the name Niesslia ligustica. RNAcentral describes it as "LSU rRNA". It matches the Rfam family "Eukaryotic large subunit ribosomal RNA", at positions 36 to 937 of the family's 3401-position model. The record is from RNAcentral. Lineage: Eukaryota; Fungi; Ascomycota; Sordariomycetes; Hypocreales; Niessliaceae.
UAGCAUAUCAAUAAGCGGAGGAAAAGAAACCAACAGGGAUUGCCCCAGUAACGGCGAGUGAAGCGGCAACAGCUCAAAUUUGAAAUCUGGCCCCUAGGGUCCGAGUUGUAAUUUGUAGAGGAUGCUUUUGGCGCGGCGCCUUCCGAGUUCCCUGGAACGGGACGCCAUAGAGGGUGAGAGCCCCGUCUGGUUGGAUGCCUAGCCUCUGUAAAGCUCCUUCGACGAGUCGAGUAGUUUGGGAAUGCUGCUCUAAAUGGGAGGUAUAUGUCUUCUAAAGCUAAAUACCGGCCAGAGACCGAUAGCGCACAAGUAGAGUGAUCGAAAGAUGAAAAGCACUUUGAAAAGAGGGUUAAAUAGUACGUGAAAUUGUUGAAAGGGAAGCGUUUGUGACCAGACUUGGGCCCGGUUGAUCAUCCAGCGUUUUCGCUGGUGCACUCUGCCGGCCCAGGCCAGCAUCAGUUCGCGCCGGGGGAUAAAGGCUUCGGGAAUGUGGCUCUUCGGAGUGUUAUAGCCCGUUGUGUAAUACCCUGGUGCGGACUGAGGUUCGCGCUCCGCAAGGAUGCUGGCGUAAUGGUCAUCAGCGACCCGUCUUGAAACACGGACCAAGGAGUCGUCUUCGUAUGCGAGUGUUCGGGUGUCAAACCCCUACGCGUAAUGAAAGUGAACGCAGGUGAGAGCUUCGGCGCAUCAUCGACCGAUCCUGAUGUUCUCGGAUGGAUUUGAGUAAGAGCAUACGGGGCCGGACCCGAAAGAAGGUGAACUAUGCCUGUAUAGGGUGAAGCCAGAGGAAACUCUGGUGGAGGCUCGCAGCGGUUCUGACGUGCAAAUCGAUCGUCAAAUAUGGGCAUGGGGGCGAAAGACUAAUCG